AUUAAUAUUACACUGACAAAUCAUUCUCAUUCAAAAGGCAGAACCAUUAAACAACACCAAAAACCUCGGGCUCAUAAGCACGGCCUAUGUUGCACAGCACAGUGGAGGAUUUGAUGCAACGUGCAAGGCCCUCACUUUGGAAGGAAGCAACUAGUCAUGGACGGGGAAGGAGAGGAUUAAAAAGAAGAGAUGAAUUUCUUGGGACAAAGUAAAAAUUACCCUGAACCUUUAUCCAGAGCUUCAAAGAAUCAUUGCAUAGAAAUGAUUUUAUCUGGGAGUGGAGAGGCACAAGACAUUGUGUGAGAACACUUCCCCCACUGUGGCGUUUCCCAUGGAAGCCAAUCCAGACACUGGAAAUCAGAAGAAAGCUCCCGGCCGCCACCUUCUGUGUCAACGGAUCGCCUCGGACCAACACGGUACCUGGUUUUGGAACCCUGGAAUCUACCCAGGAAGAGGAUCAGCUGAGGAAGACAAGACAGCCAACGACGGCUUCUUUGCAAUACACGGAGCUACGUUUGCCCAUGAAGACACCAUGAAGAGGACAGUUCCACUGACCAUAAAGCUCUUUGCCGUGCGGCUCAUGCAAGUCUCUCUGGAGCUCUGUGAUUUGGAAAACCCUGUUCAAGGCAGGCUGUGUCCUGUGCUUCUACAACAGUUGGAUUUCCUUCUUUGCUUGCUGUGGAGUCUCUGCAAGUCUUCAGAUGUCCAGCACUUGGCACCUGUAUGGCUACAAGGAGGCAACAGAUAA
This 748-nucleotide long non-coding RNA is filed under the name Felis catus (domestic cat). RNAcentral describes it as "lncRNA (ENSFCAG00000046807.1)". The record is from RNAcentral. Lineage: Eukaryota; Metazoa; Chordata; Mammalia; Carnivora; Felidae.